GUGGGGAAUAUUGCACAAUGGGGGAAACCCUGAUGCAGCGACGCCGCGUGAGUGAAGAAGUAUUUCGGUACGUAAAGCUCUAUCAGCAAGGAAGAAAAUGACGGUACUUGACUAAGAAGCCCCGGCUAACUACGUGCCAGCAGCCGCGGUAAUACGUAGGGGGCAAGCGUUAUCCGGAUUUACUGGGUGUAAAGGGAGCGUAGACGGUAUGGUAAGUCAGAUGUGAAAGCCCGGGGCUCAACCCCGGGACUGCAUUUGAAACUAUCAGACUAGAGUGCAGUAGAGGUAAGUGGAAUUCCUAGUGUAGCGGUGAAAUGCGUAGAUAUUAGGAGGAACACCAGUGGCGAAGGCGGCUUACUGGACUGUAACUGACGUUGAGGCUCGAAAGCGUGGGGAGCAAACAGGAUUAGAUACCCGUGUAGUCC
Molecule: ribosomal RNA, 425 nt
Filed under: uncultured bacterium
Lineage: Bacteria
Description: partial 16S ribosomal RNA
Rfam family: Bacterial small subunit ribosomal RNA
Source: RNAcentral